GACGAACGCUGGCGGCGUGCUUAAUACAUGCAAGUCAACUUGACUUUAGAUAGCAAUAUCGAAAAGUAGGGUGGCGCACGGGUGCGUAACGCGUAGGUAAUCUGCCCUGAGGUCUGACAUAACCCGUCGAAAGGCGGGCUAACAUCAGAUGAUAUAUAAUCACGACAUCGUGGAAAUAUCAAAUCUUCGGAGCCUUGGGAUGAGCCUGCGUCUGAUUAGGUAGUUGGCGGAGUAAUAGCCCACAAGCCUACGAUCAGUAGCUGGUCUGAGAGGAUGAUCAGCCACACUGGAACUGAGACACGGUCCAGACUCCUACGGGAGCAGCAGU
Molecule: ribosomal RNA, 328 nt
Filed under: uncultured bacterium
Lineage: Bacteria
Description: bacterial SSU rRNA
Rfam family: Bacterial small subunit ribosomal RNA
Source: RNAcentral